RNAcentral lists this ribosomal RNA (506 nucleotides) under uncultured bacterium. RNAcentral describes it as "partial 16S ribosomal RNA". It matches the Rfam family "Bacterial small subunit ribosomal RNA", at positions 29 to 523 of the family's 1533-position model. The record is from RNAcentral.
AGUGAACGCUGGCGGUAGGCCUAACACAUGCAAGUCGAACGGCAGCACAGGAGAGCUUGCUCUCUGGGUGGCGAGUGGCGGACGGGUGAGGAAUACAUCGGAAUCUACUCUGUCGUGGGGGAUAACGUAGGGAAACUUACGCUAAUACCGCAUACGACCUACGGGUGAAAGCAGGGGAUCUUCGGACCUUGCGCGAUUGAAUGAGCCGAUGUCGGAUUAGCUAGUUGGCGGGGUAAAGGCCCACCAAGGCGACGAUCCGUAGCUGGUCUGAGAGGAUGAUCAGCCACACUGGAACUGAGACACGGUCCAGAAUCCUACGGGAGGCAGCAGUGGGGAAUAUUGGACAAUGGGCGCAAGCCUGGUCCAGCCAUACCGCGUGGGUGAAGAAGGCCUUCGGGUUGUAAAGCCCUUUUGUUGGGAAAGAAAUCCAGCUGGCUAAUACCCGGUUGGGAUGACGGUACCCAAAGAAUAAGCACCGGCUAACUUCGUGCCAGCAGCCGCCGUAA